Podarcis raffonei (Aeolian wall lizard) is the source of this 1203-nucleotide long non-coding RNA. RefSeq lists it as uncharacterized. The record is from RefSeq and is a predicted model, not a curated record. Lineage: Eukaryota; Metazoa; Chordata; Lepidosauria; Squamata; Lacertidae. The transcript has 2 exons.
GUCGGAGGUGGGCGGGGUGAGGGGAGAGGGAGAUGCUUUUAUACGACACUGGAGGACCUUAUGGUGGCUGAGCGGGGAAAGCUCCUGGAGUUUAAGAAGUGGGCAUUUUAGCAAGUGUGGCAUGGAAGACACGCUGCCCCUAUUGCAGUUUUCUUUUCUGCACAGCUACUAAAGUGGUCAACAAGGUGCCUAUGAGAAGCCCACAAAGCAAGAAACUCAGUAACAGCAGCACUGUUCUCUCUACCUUUGUGUUCAUAGGGAACUCGUAUUCAGAGGCAUACUGAGCCCCACAAACUCCCAAAAUCUGCCCCAAAGGGUAUGUGGGGUAAACAUAGGACAGGUUUAGGGGAGUGCAUGGAGGGAGAGGGGCACGUUCUGUUGCACUAGUAUAAAUCCUUCCACUAAUGUAAUGAGAGACUAUGCUGGAUAUACAAGCCAUAACAUUUAUUGAAUGUUUUUCUGUUUAGAGGCAGCAAAGGGGCUAGAACUGUUCGGAAGAAAAGUGUAGCAGUGAACUGGGCAAAACGUUUCUUUGCAUGAGAGGAAAAGGACACAUUCAGAUCUGUUUUUGUAGGGAAGCAGAGAGGAAAUGGUCCCAAUUUGAGAAGGGAGCAACUUGGUUCUUUAUUUGCAUAUAAUUAUUCAGUCUUGCUGGAAAUAAUGGGAUUUGAAUUAAUCAAAGCUAAAUUGCCCCACUAAUUUCAUUUGGAUGCAUCUCAAUAUGAGUUGGAUUUGAGCUGAUGUAUGUUGUUGAAGGCCGCUGAUUCAGGCUUCAGAAUGGAAAAGCCUGGAAUUAACCUUCAUUUUUACAAACUUAGUUUAAUUAUUAAAAUUUAAUUUCUUUGUUCUUAAGUGUACAGUUAUGAAUACUUCAUGAAGUUUAUAGCAGAUAUGUCUCCAGCUCUUAUUAUUAAUUGAAAUUGUUAUGUAAGUAGAUUUAUGAAUUUUACUUUUUUUGUCUUCAAGUGUCUUUUGGUGUCCUGAAUUAUAUGUUUAAUAAACUGGGUUUAACCUGCUUGCAUUCAGUUUUAUUUUAACCAUUUAGAAAUAAAAAUAAAAUUGUGUGGUGCAGCUGUAAGCAUUUUUACUCCAAAGCAAACUGUCCUGAGUUUAAUGGGAUUCAGGCCUAGCAGCAUGCUCUGCUAUUCUCACUCUGAAACAGUUUCAGAGAUCACUUUAGCUCUGCUGCUGACUUCUGGACUU